GCGCUUGUUUGGGCAGCACGUAAACUAAAACUGGAACGAUACAGAGAUUAGCAUGGCCCCUGCGCAAGGAUGACACGCAAAUCCGUGAAGCGUUCCGUAUUUUU
This 104-nucleotide small nuclear RNA is filed under the name Moschus moschiferus (Siberian musk deer). The record is from RNAcentral. Lineage: Eukaryota; Metazoa; Chordata; Mammalia; Artiodactyla; Moschidae.